This 253-nucleotide ribosomal RNA is filed under the name uncultured bacterium. RNAcentral's name for it is "partial 16S ribosomal RNA". It matches the Rfam family "Bacterial small subunit ribosomal RNA", at positions 524 to 776 of the family's 1533-position model. The record is from RNAcentral.
UACGAAGGGGGCUAGCGUUGCUCGGAAUCACUGGGCGUAAAGGGUGCGUAGGCGGGUCUUUAAGUCAGGGGUGAAAUCCUGGAGCUCAACUCCAGAACUGCCUUUGAUACUGAAGAUCUUGAGUUCGGGAGAGGUGAGUGGAACUGCGAGUGUAGAGGUGAAAUUCGUAGAUAUUCGCAAGAACACCAGUGGCGAAGGCGGCUCACUGGCCCGAUACUGACGCUGAGGAGCGAAAGCUAGGGGAGCAAACGGG